This 2451-nucleotide ribosomal RNA is filed under the name Triticum aestivum (bread wheat). RNAcentral's name for it is "partial small subunit ribosomal RNA". The record is from RNAcentral. Lineage: Eukaryota; Viridiplantae; Streptophyta; Magnoliopsida; Poales; Poaceae.
AUGGCCAACUCAAACGAUCUAUGGGAGAAGAAGCUGCAGGAUCCAAGUGCAACACCAGUGCCUCUGCCAUUUGAAUUUCUGAAAGCCAUUACAUGUGAUUUUUCCAGCGGGCAGGAACUCGGCAGAGGCGAGCAUGGAGUGGUUUACAAGGGAGUUCUUCCGAGUGGAAAAUUUAUUGCCGUGAAGAAGCUUUUUCAAACACAUCUGAUGGAUGAUAAGAGAUUCCAGAAUGAGCUCAGUUCUCUUAUGGGGAUCAAGCACCAAAAUGUAGUGCAGCUUAUUGGUUACUGUGCCGAAACAAGUUUCGAAAUGGUGAACCUCCAAGGUAGUGGGAAACAUAUUAUGGAUGAAAUACCAAAGAGAUUGCUUUGCUUUGAAUAUGUAGGCAACAAAAGCCUUCAUUACUAUAUCUCAGAUGGUACUUUUGACCUCGAGUGGGAUAUGAGAUAUGAAAUAAUAAGGGGUAUUUACGAUGGUUUGCAUUACCUUCAUGAGGAAUGCCAUACUGUUCAUCUCAACCUGAAACCUGGAAACAUAUUGAUGGAUGCUACAAUGGUUCCGAAAAUAGCGAAUUUUGGUUUAUCAAGGAUCUUUGGUGACAAGCAAUCCCGAAUCAUCACUGAAAAUCGUCCAGGAACACUCGGAUAUAUGGCCCCAGAAUACUCCUUUCAAGGCAUAGUCUCCAUGAAGGCAGAUAUAUUCAGUUUGGGUAUUAUUAUGAUUGAGAUAGUCACAGGUCUUGGAGACUAUCCCCUGACUGCUAUUCCAUAUAUGGAGCACUUCAAUCAAGACGGCAGUUUCCAGAGUACCGACACGUCCUUCGAACACUACUACAAAGAGAAAAUAAGAUUAAGUACUCAGGCUCUUGCAAAUAUAUAUCAUACUUGGAGGAAUAGGCUGGAGAAGUCGCAGGGAGCCACAGAAAAAUUGGAACAAAUUCGUGCGUGCGUUGAAUUAGGACUAGAAUGCACUGAAAUCAACCCAUAUAAAAGACCAGCCACACAGCAUAUAAUGGAUAGGCUUGAAAAAGUCAAUAUUACAGACGAAUACCAUAAAGCCGGUGAGAGUAUUUCGGCAGUAGCACAGGCAGGAGAAUCUUCCACUUCCAAUGCUCUGCAUCGAGGAGAUACCGGUACCAUUGUUGAGAUUGAGAAGGCGUCAAUACUACCGGCAAAGGUUAAGGAAUUUGUACAGGUUCAAGUAUCUGCGGUCAGCAUUCCAGCAAGUGAAAAUGACAUUCCCAUCCCAAAGGAAGACAAAUCAACAUCUCUUGUUGUUCCGGAUGCUUUUCGUUGCGCAAGAUCACUUGGUUUAAUGAAAGACCCGGUUAUGGUGGCCACUGGGCAGACUUACGACCGAGGCAGCAUAGUGAGAUGGUUGGACGCCGGGCACGACACUUGUCCGAGGACGAAGCAGAAGCUUGCUAACAAAUUUCUAACUCCAAAUUAUGCUCUUUACGGCCUGAUUGUCCAAUGGUGUCGAGCAAACGGUUUGGAGCAGCCGAAACGCUCUGCUCAAGUUAGCAGUGAUGACGGUGAUGCAACGCCGGCAUCACUCGCCUAUUCUGAGCAAGAUGUAGUUGCGGGCCUUGUUCGGAGACUAUCAUCCCAAAAUGUUGUAGACCAACGUGAAGCUGCCGGUAUGCUUCGUCUGCUUGCCAAGGGCAAUUCUAAAUAUCAAGCAUGUAUAGGAGAUUCUGGCGGCAUUCCUAUCCUGGUGAACCUUUUAUGGAUGGAUGAUAUCAGCACCCAGGAACAUGUUGUUACUGCUCUCCUGGAUUUCUCUGUUUCUAAUUACGAGAACAAGGAAAAAUUGGUCUCGGCCGGAGCUAUUCCUGGAGUUGUAUACGUGCUAGAGAAGGGCAGCAUGGUUGCCCGGGAGAAUGCUGCUGCAAUGUUGUCCAGCCUAUCCACUGGAAAAGAAAGCAUGCUGAUCAUUGGGGCCGCUGGAUCAAUUCCGCCUCUCAUCCUGCUGUUGACUACUGGGAGUCAACAGGGUAAAACGAAUGCUGCGGAAACACUAAUGGAUCUGUUCGUCGAGGCGGACAACAAGAGUAUAGCUAUUAGAGCCGGGUUCGUCCCUGUACUGCUAGAGCUUCUAACAGGAACCGAGGAUGGAAUCGAUUCCAUCUUUAUGUUGGCAAUUUUUUCCAAGCAUCCUGAGGGAAAGGCGGCUAUUGCUGCUGCUGCUGCUGCUAAUGCUGCUGCCAUACCAAUGCUGGUUGGAGUUAUCAGAAAUGGAUCCCAAGGCAAAAGCGAAACGGAAUGGGCGCUUACUAUUCUGGCGCGCAUCUGUGGUGGCCAAGGCAAACAGCAGAAACAAUGUCUUGCUGAAGCACGGGAGAAUGGCCUCGCGUCCUUGCUGGUGGAGCUAGCAGAAAGUCACUCAAGCUCAAGCAGAGGCAGAUUGGAAGCCAGAGAUCUGCUAGCACUACUCAGAAGCGAUUGCUGA